Molecule: long non-coding RNA, 88 nt
Organism: Sinocyclocheilus grahami
Lineage: Eukaryota; Metazoa; Chordata; Actinopteri; Cypriniformes; Cyprinidae
Exons: 3
Source: RefSeq, a predicted model, not a curated record
UGUUCAUAUUUAAAAAGUAACGCAAAAGUAAAGUAAUGGAUUACUUUCCAUAAAAAGUAACUAAGUAACGCAGUUAGUUUUUAUUGAG